Camelina sativa (false flax) is the source of this 163-nucleotide non-coding RNA. NCBI's taxonomy places the organism in Eukaryota, Viridiplantae, Streptophyta, Magnoliopsida, Brassicales, Brassicaceae. The record is from RefSeq and is a predicted model, not a curated record.
CGAGACAUGGCACCUGUGCCUCAAAAGGGAGGCCUUGAGGCUGUAGCUAACUUCCCAGUGGCAUUGUUCGUGGUUCUGAUCAGUUUCUGGUUUGCAACAAUGUCUCUGAAACAAGUUGGGAGUGAUUAUAAGCAUAAGCACUUGUUCUUCUCAUUGCUGUGGA